This 403-nucleotide ribosomal RNA is filed under the name uncultured bacterium. RNAcentral's name for it is "partial 16S ribosomal RNA". It matches the Rfam family "Bacterial small subunit ribosomal RNA", at positions 30 to 526 of the family's 1533-position model. The record is from RNAcentral.
AUUGAACGCUGGCGGCAGGACUAACACAUGCAAGUCGAGCGAGCGGCGGACGGGUGAGUAAUGUAUGGGUACUGCCCGAUAGAGGGGGAUAAUUACUUGACCCGGUGGCUAAUACCGCAUACUAUCGGAUUACCCAUAUGGGAUUAGCUAGUAGGUGGGGUAACGGAUCACCUAGGCGACGAUCUCUAGCUGGUCUGAGAGGAUGAUCAGACAGACUGUGCCUGGGACAGUGACCAGAUUCUUACGGAGGGCGCAGUGGGGAAUAUUUCACAAUGGGCGAAGGCGUGAUGCACCAAUGCGGCGUGUAGGAAGCAGGGCAUAGGGUUGUAAAUUACUUUCAGCGUGGAGGCGUUACCCUUAGAAGCAGCACCGGCUAACACCGUUGCAGCAGCCGCGGUAAUAC